This is a microRNA precursor of Gossypium raimondii (Peruvian cotton), 87 nucleotides long. It matches the Rfam family "MIR7486 microRNA precursor family". The record is from Rfam. NCBI's taxonomy places the organism in Eukaryota, Viridiplantae, Streptophyta, Magnoliopsida, Malvales, Malvaceae.
CUCAAGGAAGCACUUUGUCCACGUGAAUAGAAAACGUGUCCUUGAGGGCGCGCUUUGUGUCCAUGUAGAUAAAGCGCUUCUUUGAGG